Molecule: ribosomal RNA, 212 nt
Filed under: uncultured bacterium
Lineage: Bacteria
Description: partial 16S ribosomal RNA
Rfam family: Bacterial small subunit ribosomal RNA
Source: RNAcentral
GAUGAACGCUAGCGGCAGGCCUAACACAUGCAAGUCGAGGGGCAGCACGGAAUGUAGCUUGCUACAUCUGGUGGCGACCGGCGCACGGGUGCGUAACGCGUAUGCAACCUACCUUGAACAGGGGGAUAAUUCGGAGAAAUCUGGUCUAAUACCCCAUGAUAUCGGAAUAGGCGUCUAUUCUGGUUAAAAACUCCGGUGGUUCAAGAUGGGCA